RNAcentral lists this ribosomal RNA (450 nucleotides) under uncultured bacterium. RNAcentral describes it as "partial 16S ribosomal RNA". It matches the Rfam family "Bacterial small subunit ribosomal RNA", at positions 354 to 796 of the family's 1533-position model. The record is from RNAcentral.
GUGGGGAAUCUUCCGCAAUGGACGAAAGUCUGACGGAGCAACGCCGCGUGAGUGAUGAAGGUCUUCGGAUUGUAAAGCUCUGUUAAUCGGGACGAAAGAGCCUAGUGUGAAUAAUGCUAGGAAGUGACGGUACCGGAAUAGAAAGCCACGGCUAACUACGUGCCAGCAGCCGCGGUAAUACGUAGGUGGCAAGCGUUGUCCGGAAUUAUUGGGCGUAAAGCGCGCGCAGGCGGAUCUGCCAGUCUGUCUUAAAGGUUCGGGGCUUAACCCCGUGAUGGGAUGGAAACUACAGAUCUAGAGUAUCGGAGAGGAAAGUGGAAUUCCUAGUGUAGCGGUGAAAUGCGUAGAUAUUAGGAAGAACACCAGUGGCGAAGGCGACUUUCUGGACGAAAACUGACGCUGAGGCGCGAAAGCCAGGGGAGCGAACGGGAUUAGAAACCCCAGUAGUCC